UUCAAAAAAUGAUUUCACAAAAAAAAGAGUGUUCAUGUAGUUGUAUUACAUUUAGGAUCGAUUCUACAGUGUUUUAUUUAGGAUUGUUGCAUAUACAUAGGGGAUAAUGAUGAGAUAGCCUUGUAAGCAUUUUGGUUCACCGGAUAAACUCAGUGCCCUCGUUGCUAGUUGUCUGUUGCGUAGUCAAUGAAUUUGAAAUAAAA
Molecule: small RNA, 203 nt
Filed under: Arabidopsis thaliana (thale cress)
Lineage: Eukaryota; Viridiplantae; Streptophyta; Magnoliopsida; Brassicales; Brassicaceae
Description: ATSL204680
Source: RNAcentral